GUGCCAGCAGCCGCGGUAAAACGUAGGAGCCAAGCGUUAUCCGAAUUCACUGGGCGUAAAGCGCGUGCAGGCGGUUGGGUAAGUUGGAUGUGAAAUCGCCCGGCUCAACUGGGCGAGGUCGUUCAAAACUGCCUGACUCGAGGACGGUAGAGGGAGGUGGAAUUCCCGGUGUAGUGGUGAAAUGCGUAGAGAUCGGGAGGAACACCAGUGGCGAAGGCGGCCUCCUGGACCGGACCUGACGCUCAGACGCGAAAGCUAGGGGAGCGAACGGGAUUAGAAACCCGAGUAGUCC
Molecule: ribosomal RNA, 292 nt
Filed under: uncultured bacterium
Lineage: Bacteria
Description: partial 16S ribosomal RNA
Rfam family: Bacterial small subunit ribosomal RNA
Source: RNAcentral